UACGGCUACAUCGCGUUGCAACACCGGUUCCCGUACGAUCACCUAAGUUAAGCAGCGUCGAGCCUGGUCAGUACUUAGAUGGGUGACCGCUUGAUAAUACUAGGUGCU
Molecule: non-coding RNA, 108 nt
Organism: Acanthosepion pharaonis
Lineage: Eukaryota; Metazoa; Mollusca; Cephalopoda; Sepiida; Sepiidae
Source: the annotation of a GenBank genome assembly